Chlorocebus sabaeus (green monkey) is the source of this 3924-nucleotide RNA transcript. It is a transcript of the gene named mitochondrial intermediate peptidase, with no coding region annotated. Lineage: Eukaryota; Metazoa; Chordata; Mammalia; Primates; Cercopithecidae. The record is from RefSeq and is a predicted model, not a curated record.
CCACGCCCAGACCCGGAAGCGGAGCCGUCACGUGGGGCGGCGUGGGCCGCUGCCUUGGAAACGCGGAGCCCGCGCUCCGGGCUAAAGCACCAGGGCAGGGGUCUCGCGUUGGAGGAAGGGACUGAUCCGGGGAUAGAAUGCUGUGCGUCGGAAGGCUGGGCGGCUUCGGAGCCAGAGCAGCAGCUCUGCCGCCCCGGUGGGCGGGCCAGGGACGCCUCCAAGCCGGGAUCCGGGCCCGAAGGGUCAGCACCAGCUGGUCUCCCGUGGGCGCCGCCUUCAAUGUCAAGCCCCAGGGCAGCCGCUUGGACCUGUUCGGCGAGCGCCGGGGUCUUUUUGGAGUUCCUGAGCUCAGUGCCCCAGAAGGAUUUCAUAUUGCACAAGAAAAAGCCUUGAGAAAGACAGAAUGGCUUGUGGACCGUGCGUGUUCCACCCCACCUGGGCCCCAGACCGUGCUGAUCUUCGAUGAGCUCUCGGAUUCCUUGUGCAGAGUGGCCGACUUGGCUGAUUUUGUGAAAAUCGCUCACCCUGAGCCAGCAUUCAGAGAAGCCGCGGAAGAAGCUUGUAGAAGUAUUGGCACCAUGGUAGAGAAGUUGAACACAAAUGUGGAUUUAUAUCAAAGUUUGCAAAAAUUACUAGCUGAUAAAAAACUUGUGGAUUCCCUUGAUCCAGAAACAAGGCGAGUGGCUGAACUGUUUAUGUUUGAUUUUGAAAUUAGUGGAAUCCAUCUAGACAAAGAAAAGCGUAAAAGAGCAGUGGACCUCAAUGUUAAAAUCUUGGAUUUGAGUAGUACAUUUCUUAUGGGAACCAAUUUUCCCAACAAGAUUGAGAAGCAUCUCUUACCAGAACACAUUCGUCAUAACUUUACGUCUGCUGGGGAUCAUAUCAUCAUUGAUGGUCUCCAUGCAGAGGCACCAGAUGACUUGGUGCGAGAAGCUGCUUAUAAAAUUUUUCUCUAUCCCAACGCUGGUCAGUUGAAAUGUUUAGAAGAAUUGCUCAGCAGUAGAGAUCUUCUGGCAAAGCUGGUGGGGUAUUCCACGUUUUCCCACAGGGCUCUCCAAGGAACAAUAGCUAAAAAUCCAGAGACUGUCAUGCAGUUCCUUGAGAAACUAUCUGACAAACUUUCUGAAAGAACUCUAAAAGAUUUUGAGAUGAUACGAGAGAUGAAAAUGAAACUGAAUCCUCAAAAUUCUGAAGUAAUGCCUUGGGACCCCCCCUACUACAGUGGUGUGAUUCGUGCAGAAAGGUAUAAUAUUGAGCCCAGCCUAUAUUGCCCGUUUUUCUCUCUUGGAGCAUGCAUGGAGGGCCUGAAUAUUUUGCUAAACAGACUAUUGGGGAUUUCAUUAUAUGCAGAGCAGCCUGCAAAAGGAGAGGUGUGGAGUGAAGAUGUCCGAAAACUGGCUGUCGUUCAUGAAUCUGAGGGAUUGUUGGGGUACAUUUACUGUGAUUUUUUUCAGCGAGCAGACAAGCCACAUCAGGAUUGCCAUUUCACUAUCCGUGGAGGCAGACUAAAGGAAGACGGAGACUAUCAACUCCCAGUUGUAGUUCUUAUGCUGAAUCUUCCCCGUUCCUCAAGGAGUUCUCCAACUUUGCUAACUCCUGGCAUGAUGGAAAAUCUUUUCCAUGAAAUGGGACAUGCCAUGCAUUCAAUGCUAGGACGUACUCGUUACCAACACGUCACUGGGACCAGGUGCCCUACUGAUUUUGCUGAGGUUCCUUCUAUUCUGAUGGAGUACUUUGCAAAUGAUUAUCGAGUAGUUAACCAAUUUGCCAGACAUUAUCAGACUGGACAGCCACUGCCAAAAAAUAUGGUAUCUCGUCUUUGUGAAUCUAAAAAGGUUUGUGCUGCAGCUGAUAUGCAACUUCAGGUCUUUUAUGCCGCUCUGGAUCAAAUCUACCAUGGGAAGCAUCCCUUGAGGAAUUCAACCACAGACAUUCUCAAGGAAACACAAGAGAAAUUCUAUGGCCUACCAUACGUUCCAAAUACUGCCUGGCAGCUGCGAUUCAGCCACCUCGUGGGGUAUGGCGCUAAAUACUACUCUUACCUCAUGUCCAGAGCGGUCGCCUCCAUGGUGUGGAAGGAGUGCUUUCUACAGGAUCCUUUCAACAGGGCCGCUGGGGAGCGCUAUCGCAGGGAGAUGCUGGCCCACGGUGGAGGCAGGGAGCCCAUGCUCAUGGUUGAAGCUGUGAUGACAGUGCUUACACGAUCCUGUCCCCACCGCACCAACAUGCACAGACAUAAGCAGGCAAUGAGGUGGCUCCGGGAUGACCUUGUAUGAAGAUGUUCCCUGCCUUAGUCUCGGCAAUGGACAUCACAAACUUGGGAACAAGCUACAAAAUUAAGAUGACGCAGAGGAUGAGCAGGGCCAGCAGGACGGUGGCCAGAGCGCUGCAGAUGAUGGCGGCCAGCGCCGUGUCCCGUGGGCUGGAGGCUGUGGACGCGAUCUUCACGAGGUUGACCUUGCUGGCACCUGAAACCACAGGAAUGGGGUCAGCACGCUCUGAACAACCGCAGAUGCAGUGCUUACGGCGAAGCUGGCGGGCACCCUUACCAGUGGCCUUCCCAUGCUGUGAGAAAACCAGCAUGAGAUAUUUGAAGAUGGCUCAAGCACCCCUCCACCCAGAAGAUGUCUUUAAUGGGACACCUUUACCUGCACCCCACAAUGUGCUGGGUGUCCCUCUCCUCUGUUCCCACGGCACUGCGGACACACAGCCCUCGACACAUCGCGUUACUAGAAUCUGCCUUCAGCCCCACCAGGGCAGAAUUCUUUGUGAGCGGGGGUCUGUCGUCUUUAUCUCUGGCUGCCCAGUACUCGGCAUGUGGCAGGGAACUACUGUUUUUUAUUGAAUUGGAAUUGCACCACAUUUUUAAGCGGACUGAAUGCAUGCAUCCUUUUCGGGGCAACUUUAGGGGAAACAAGGAGUUGGAUCAUCCAGAACCUUACAGUAGACCCCAGUUUUUGAGACAGUAAACAUCUCUGAAUGCCUUAGCUGUUAAACUGCUGGAAAACAUCGAAGUUUUGGAGAAAAGAGUUAUACUGUUAUUACACCAUGGAAAGGCUGGCAUCGUCAUGUGCUAAGAAAGUGGAGAAAUACAUGUUACUUUAGAGGGUGGUACUGCUUUGUGGUUCAGGGCAGAUUCUGAACCCCAUGGCCUGGGUCAACCUCUACCUGUAUGACCUUGAGACACUGACUCGAGUCUCAAUUGCCAUCUGUUCAAAUGGAGGUAAUAACAGUGACUGACUCAGGCGUUAUAUAAAGUGUGUAGGACUGGCUGUGCUGUAGAAUCAUUAGCCACUGUAAUGAUGAUGAUAAUAAUUAGCAUUUUAAAACUAUCCUGAGGGUACCAGGAUAAACAAACUCAUUUAAAUUAGAGAUCUAUAUCCAGUACAGUUAAACAGCAUAUCCUACUCAACUAACCCCAAAAUAAUCUGAGAGAAAUGGAUUUAAGAGGGGCAUGAAAUCUACAUAGAGGGGCCGUUAACAUUUUCUCUUUCCCAAGCAGAUGCCCUGAGUGAGCUGAGGCGCCCUCACUCUGCUUCCCCGGCAGGUGCCGCUCACCAUGGGAGCCUCCCCUCAACUGAGGAUCACUCCAGGUAGAGGUAUAAUGUGUGCUUCACACGUCAUUUCAGGUUGUCUAGAAACCAAAUUUAAAAUGUAAAAGGGAGGCCAGGUGCGCUGGCUCAUGCCUGUAAUCCCAGCACUUUGGGAGGCUGAGUUGUGAGGAUCUCUUGAGCCUAUGAAGCUGUAGUGAGCUGUGAUUGUACCACUGCGCACCAGCCUGGAUGACAGAGUGAGACUGUCUCAAUAAUAAACAAAAAAAGAAGAAGAAACAGGUAAAAUUAACUGUAGCCUAUUUUACUUAGCCAAUGUAUCUUAAAUAUUGCAUUUCAAUAUGUAUUCAAUAUAAAAAUUAUUGACAUUUUA